This 577-nucleotide unclassified non-coding RNA is filed under the name Hevea brasiliensis (rubber tree). The record is from RNAcentral. Lineage: Eukaryota; Viridiplantae; Streptophyta; Magnoliopsida; Malpighiales; Euphorbiaceae.
GGGAAAGACAGUUUUCUUGGCUCAGAAAGAGCUGCAGGAUAUUGCCCUUCCCACCAUUAACAGCGUUGAAAUCCCCGGAUUCAAAUAUCUUCCUACUAAGAGGAAUGUGCGCAAAUGGAAACUCGUGAGAAGAGUGAAGGAUACACUGAUGACUAUCAUACAGGGCCGAAUAGAUUCCAACGGAUCAAGCUAUGGGAACGAUCUACUUGGAUUGAUGCUUGAGGCUUGUAGAACUGAACCAAAUGAGAGGAAAGGCAAUUUGAGUAUGAGUAUGGAUGAGAUCAUUGAGGAGUGUAAGACAUUCUUCUUGGCUGGUCAUGAAACCACCUCCCAUUUGCUAACUUGGACUAUGUUCUUAUUGAGCAUAAAUCAAGAUUGGCAAGAGAGGCUGAGAGAGGAAGUGUUUAGUAAAUGCGGGAUGGAAUUCCCUAACUCAGACCAGCUCGGCAAACUAAAUUUGGUUACAAUGUUUCUCUUUGAAGUAUUGAGGCUUUACAGUCCAAUUGUUUCAAUGCUGAGGAUGGCUAUUAGGGAUAUGAAAUUAGGAAGCCUGAUGAUUCCCAAGGGUACAUGCUUG